GGCUAGCAAAUGAUGAGAGCAGAGCCCAUAUCAAGCUCUUAAGCAUCCUCCUCUUGGGCCUUCCAGAAUUGCCCUUUUUGUCUGAUGCUGCAUUGACCUUUUCGUCUGAUGCUGGCU
RNAcentral lists this small nucleolar RNA (117 nucleotides) under Oryza sativa (Asian cultivated rice). Its description in RNAcentral is "Z241 small nucleolar RNA". The record is from RNAcentral. Lineage: Eukaryota; Viridiplantae; Streptophyta; Magnoliopsida; Poales; Poaceae.